RNAcentral lists this long non-coding RNA (786 nucleotides) under Anser cygnoides (Swan goose). Its description in RNAcentral is "lncRNA (ENSACDG00005019393.1)". The record is from RNAcentral. Lineage: Eukaryota; Metazoa; Chordata; Aves; Anseriformes; Anatidae.
AUCAUUGUCACUCUUCUGGGCUUCAUCUGGGUUUUCCUCAGGAUUUGUCAAAAUGUUCAUCAACAGUUUCAACUGUGAUGUGUAAGUCAUCUAGGCCAUGAAAAUUCCUCAACCUUUAUCCUUAGAAGAUGUUGUUAUGUGAACUGAAAGGUAAGGAAUCUCUUGACAUCGAGGAGUAACCUUGAGAGGCAUCCCUACACAAGGAGAAGAUUCUGGCAUGCAGCCUGCUGCAGUAAAGGACUGCUCAAUGAGCUCUGGGCUGUCCCCUAUUUAUGGGUCUCUGACUGGCACUGUCCUGCUGAGACCACUCACACCAGUCUCCUGCUCUGCAGAAGGUGGCAGCAGUACCUACUUGUGUGAUAAUCCCUACUAUGAACCAACUGGACAGGGAAGCACUGAUAAACAAGACAAGCUCCACCAUAUGGCAUCAAAUACAUUACUCCUCAAAACUGAAUCAAUAUGCUGACUGUGAGACUCCUGUGGUCAUAACUCCAUCUCUGGUGUCCUCCUGAGUUUGUGAACAGCUCUGCACUAUUGCAGCUGUUUGAGUUGGCUGGCUCCAUUAUCUUCUCUAUGCUGUCACAGCAGACUGUCCUUGCAAGAGUGUUCAGAUAACUGUCUCCAUCCUAAGAGUUUUAUUGGCAAGAAGGAUGCACAGGAAACCUGAAUAAUUCAUAAGAAAAGCUUCCAAAAAUAUGUUGCUUGGUUUGGGUCUACCCCCAGAAAUCAAAAUACUUUUUAAAGUGAAGAAAUAAAAAAGUUUUCUUGGAAAUGUUUCUGUAGUAC